Molecule: long non-coding RNA, 717 nt
Organism: Chelonia mydas (Green sea turtle)
Lineage: Eukaryota; Metazoa; Chordata; Testudines; Cheloniidae
Exons: 2
Source: RefSeq, a predicted model, not a curated record
UUUUCAAACACCUCCGCAACUUGGAUGGAUGUAGAGCGCAACACGCAUUAAACUGUUCUUCUUGGAGUUCGCUUAAGAGUGCUGCCAACUUGUAAACAGUAGAGUCAGUUUGCUGCCAACAUAAUUUUGACCUAGAGCAAACGGAAGUGCUUUUCCAAGAAUCUCGAAGGCUGUUGAGUCACGCUGUAUGCUGGCACUGGACCACGUAACCCAAGAGGGGAAAACAAACACAAGAGAAGAAACCACUCCUAGCAGAGGUUAAAGGGGGACAGAUGACUGUUUUCAAAUUAUUCGGGGACAUUUCCAGGAAAGAGGUGGUGGUGCAAGAGACUCUUUCCGAAGAGCUAUUCGCCACAGGGGAACAAAAUCGCAUUCGUAUUUUCAUCGUUGUGGUUGUGUCAGGUCAGCAACAUCAGAGUAUGAAGAGCUUUCGAUCGCCUCUGAAAAUGGACAACAGGUUUUUUUCAGGGACUCAAAGAGUUUAAUUCAAAAAUAUUCCCCACAAACACUGCUCUGAACUCUUUAUUGGACAAAAGGAAAGGUUUCACAGGGUCAGACAAAACUCAGACGGGCCAGUGGCAUACUGACAGCACGUGGAAAGACUAAAAUAAGCAUGAUGAUUUUAGUCCUGUAUGACAGUAUCUUCUUGUGGCACAUUGAAGACUGGAUCCAUGUACAAUGAAUGCUUCUUUUAUUUAAAAGAAUAAAGAAAAGCUA